AUUGAACGCUGGCGGCAGGCCUAACACAUGCAAGUCGAACGGUAACAGGAAACAGCUUGCUGUUUCGCUGACGAGUGGCGGACGGGCGAGUAAUGUCUGGGAAACUGCCUGAUGGAGGGGGAUAACUACUGGAAACGGUAGCUAAUACCGCAUAACGUCGCAAGACCAAAGAGGGGGACCUUCUGGCCUCUUGACCUCGGAUGUGCCCAGAUGGGAUUAGCUAGUAGGUGGGGUAACGGCUCACCUAGGCGACGAUCCCUAGCUGGUCUGAGAGGAUGACCAGCCACACUGGAACUGAGACACGGUCCAGACUCCUACGGGAGGCAGCAGUGGGGAAUAUUGCACAAUGGGCGCAAGCCUGAUGCAGCCAUGUCGCGUGUAUGAAGAAGGCCUUCGGGUUGUAAAGUACUUUCAGCGGGGAGGAAGGGAGUAAAGUUAAUACCUUUGCUCAUUGACGUUACCCGCAGAAGAAGCACCGGCUAACUCCGUGCCAGCCGCCGCCGUAA
This 506-nucleotide ribosomal RNA is filed under the name uncultured bacterium. RNAcentral's name for it is "partial 16S ribosomal RNA". It matches the Rfam family "Bacterial small subunit ribosomal RNA", at positions 30 to 523 of the family's 1533-position model. The record is from RNAcentral.